RNAcentral lists this transfer RNA (72 nucleotides) under Candidatus Amesiibacteriota bacterium. RNAcentral describes it as "Candidatus Amesbacteria bacterium tRNA-Glu". It matches the Rfam family "tRNA". Rfam says of the family: Transfer RNA (tRNA) molecules are approximately 80 nucleotides in length. The record is from RNAcentral. Lineage: Bacteria; Candidatus Amesiibacteriota.
GGCUCCAUCGUCUAGCGGCUAGGACGGCAGAUUCUCAAUCUGUAAACCAGGGUCCGAUUCCCUGUGGAGUCA